Molecule: long non-coding RNA, 3771 nt
Organism: Vespa velutina
Lineage: Eukaryota; Metazoa; Arthropoda; Insecta; Hymenoptera; Vespidae
Exons: 6
Source: RefSeq, a predicted model, not a curated record
UUAUCUUAAAAAAAAAAAAAAAAAAAGAAAAGAAAAAAUAUUAUCUAUCCAUUCAAUGUUGUUUUAAAUUUAAUUCCGAUUAUUACAUAUAUACAUAUGUAUGUCCUUUGUUAUCUUACACGAUUCAUAUUUAUAUUGUCGAAGGUUAUCUUUGAAUAUCAUUUCGUGGUUUUUCAAUGUCACGAUAAAGUUAUCAUCAUCAGUAUAUUACAAACACUCGACGAGUUCAGACGUGUUUGUCGUGUUUAUAUCGGAUUUACGUAUUUACGCAUAUCAAAUAUUAAUGAAUAAUAAUCUAUAAUUUACCAUUUCGAUUUUCUUCGACAUACAAGCUUCUUCUUUGUGAGUGCCUGCCGUCGGUCGUAUAUCUAAUUCUCGGUUCGAUUCUUUGUGCGGGUAUAUAAGUUGGUGUAGUAAAAUCAUCAGGACUCGAAACAACGGGCCUGUUGGAUCUCCUUUUGCAAAUUGCCAAACCAAUUACUAUACCGAUGCCUACCAAAAUCAAUGCCGCUGCACCUAUAUAUAGAAAUAAGAAACAAUUAUAUUAAAUUGUAUUUGAAUAUAGAUAGAUAGACUCUUAGAUAGAUAGAUAAACUUUUAAAAUAUUUCUAAAUUAUAUUCGUAUUCCUAUUAAAUACGUACAACACGAAUAUUGAUACAAUCGGAUGGCUAUCGAGGAGGAGUAAGUUAGCGUUUAUACCUAUCAAAGCCAUUACGAUGAUCAUGCUUUGCGAAUCGACUUGAGGAAUGGCUUUCUUCAAAUCCUCGAGAAAAAUCCCAGUACUUUCGAGCUUUCCACCGAUUGGUUCAGCAACUUGUACAUGUUUAAGAAGAGUGGGCUCGCUUCUUCCACGUCCAUUGACGGCAUAUACGUAAAUGGUAUAAUCAUAGCCUGGCUUGAGAUCGUGAAGACGAAAAGUAGGACUUGGAUUUCUUUCUUGAUAUAUAGGCGGUGCUUCGCUCACUGCACCUUGAUCGCUUUGGGGCGUUUGAAGGGUUUGUGGAAUGACCUGUACGAUGCCAGAACUACCAAAGGGACCACGAACCUCCAGCAGGAAGUGCUGCGGUGAACCACCAUCCGAACCAGGAAUACAAUUUACUUCUAAGGAACUACUUUCGUUGCGUAACGAACAAUCUAUCGGUGCCUGUGGUGUUUCUGAAAGAAAAAAAGAAAAAAAAAAAAAAGAAUAUUUUGAAAUGAGUUUUCCAAGGAGAAAAAUAUUUGUUUAGAUUAAAUAUAAUUUUUUAUAUUUAUCUAUCCAUUGUCAUCAAUUAUUGAUUUAAACAGAAAAGUGCAUAUCAAUUAUCGAGUAAUAUUCACCAAAAUUCCUUUAUAAAAAAUAAAAUACUGAAUCCAUUUGAGAUCGUAUUACAAAAGUUCCUAUGAUUUUAUCCUCGGUGAAUCAUCAAUGUAACGAGAAGAAGAUUUACACUUUUAUGGUGACGACAUCAAAACUAUUACUACGAUAUAUAUAGCCCAACAAGCGAGAGUACCGUAAUCAGUAUCCGCACUAGGAGUAUAAUCCAGUAAACUAACGAGGCCAUUAUCCCGAACUCUUGAAUUUGGUAACGGUAGGACGUCGCCUCGUGUUCCGUUGAAGCUCCAGGAAAAUCGAAUCAACUCGUCUGGAACUGCUUCGAUUUCGCAUCUCAAGGUCACCGUUUCAUGUCGAACAGCCGCUAUUUCUUGCCUCUCAUAACCCUCUCUACAUCUUGGAGCAUCUGCAUAUCAUCGAAUAAUACAAUUUUCAUUUCCUUUUUUUCAACGAUCUUUAUUUUCUUUUUAUCUAUUUUAUUUAUUCUAUAAUUAUACUUACACUUCAUGUGAAUAAGAAGAGGCAGACUACGUCCUUGUCCAACAAAGUUUGUAGCUUCGCAAGAGUAUUCACCAGAGUGGUCGAGAGUGAGAACACGAAGAGUGAGCGUAUUGGAGGAUACCAAAAUACCGGCGCUCACGUCAUGCUCUAAUCGUAUAUCCUGAAUUAAAGAAUUCUUUAUUAUCUUUUAUUUCUAGCUUAUAUAUAUAUAUAUUUUUUUUUUUUUAAUUCUCUAUUAUCUCUAGCGAUAUUAUUCCAAGGAAGCAUACUUACGUCGUGAUACCAAGUGACCUUCGUCGGCGGUGGAUUGCUCUGAACGUCGCAGACCAAUUUCAGAUCAUCCCCUUCUCUUAAUGUAUUUAAAAUAUAUCCUGUUGCCAGGUGAGCCGUUAAGACCGGUGCGUCUGUCAAUUGAUAUUAUUAAAGAAACUAAAAUAUCUAGCAAAACACAGAAUUUCGAAAAGUAUUAGAAAACUUACAAAGAACGCGAAGAGAUUUUGUUUCUUCGAGAACGCCACCAGGAAAUCUAGGAUUUUCGGCUUUGCAAGAUCACCGAUCACUUCGUCGCCUAAUCUCCAAAUAAUUCUGGCAGCUGGAGAACUACCCCAAGUUUCGCAUUUUGCAGCGAUCGGACGACCGGCGUACAUUUCUUCGUCGCUCAAAAUAAUUUUCACCACGGCCGGUUUAACUGAAAUGACAAUGAAAAAAUUGAUGAACGGUGUUUACAAUGGCUCGUGCAACUUGACUUUUGACGUUCAGCAAACACAAUAUAUAUUUGUGAUAUCUACUUGGGUGGUUUGCGAUCAUGAUAUGACGUUCUGAUUUUCAAACAUAUCUAUUUACUGAUAUAGAUACAUAUCUAUAUCAUUCAUCGUACAGUUUCCUAGAUGGCAGAUGAUCCUUGCAAAGGUGAUACUAAUGUCUUUUUUUCUACAAUUGCUGAAAAUAAAUCGUGCAAAUUCUUUCGCUACGAACUUGGAACGUCUUAAGUAUUCAACCUCGUAUGGAAUUCGAGACAACGUAGUGGAAAAUACUUAGAGAAGCGGAUAUUUAUCGAUUCACUAAAAUUCUUUCGACAUUUUAUCGAAAUGGAACAUCUUUCCCGUAACGAUUAUUUCAAUGUCCAAAAUUGUUCUACAAUAUGAUAUCGAAGAAUACGAGAAAAAUAAUUCAAGUAUACUAUAAUAAGGACAUUCCAUGUGUCUGGUAUAGUUGAAAUUUAUUUUAUUAAUUUUUUUCUAACCUGUUAUCUAUUUGACGCAACGAGCAAGAUAUUACAUUCUUUUCUUUUACUUUAUAACGAAGAAAGAUUUCAUUCAAAAGUUAUAAGAUGCAGAAAUAAGCGGAUGGCGAGAAAUUCCUAGCAGAAUUCUUUUAAGAAACAGGAUGCCGUGCCGUUGGCGCCAAAGAUUAAUAAUGUAAUUACAGUCUCAACGAACGGACGACGUCGCGAAGCUUGCCAAAUCAAAUCGCCACCCGUCCCGUCCUAUUCCAUCGCGUGUCAAUUUUAUACAACUUUCGUCUGAUGCGUCAUGUUAAACGCAUGACUUCUUUUGGUCAAAACAAUCCAUUUUUUUUCUUUCCUUACAUUUUCUUAAAUAGUUUCAAGAAUAUUCAAUUAAAGUUACAGAUCAAAAUUUUGAAAAAUGACGAAGCAAUAACGAUAACAGCAAUGGGAUAAUUAACGAUCUCAAUUAAUGCUUUCAGAUCGAACAACUAUUUCAUCCCUUAACUUUUCUUUAUCGUUUUAAAUCAUUUUAUUUUAUUUCAAGCUCUAGAUUGCCGUACAAAUUUACGUAGGUAUCACGUCAAAUCAUACUUUGACAAAUAUUUACGCCAAUGGCUGAGAAUCAGCCAUUUAUCAUUAUUCUUAAAUGAAAAAAUUUACAUUUUAAUCUUCGAAGUACGUUUUAUCAUGCAAAGAAAAGUUUAAUCUUAUAAAUAAUAAAGGUUU